RNAcentral lists this transfer RNA (65 nucleotides) under Lupocycloporus gracilimanus. Its description in RNAcentral is "Portunus gracilimanus tRNA-Tyr". It matches the Rfam family "tRNA". From Rfam's summary of the family: Transfer RNA (tRNA) molecules are approximately 80 nucleotides in length. Their secondary structure includes four short double-helical elements and three loops (D, anti-codon, and T loops). Lineage: Eukaryota; Metazoa; Arthropoda; Malacostraca; Decapoda; Portunidae. The record is from RNAcentral.
AAUAAGAUGGCCGAGCUUUUAGGCGUUAGAUUGUAAAUCUAAAGACAAGUAGAACUUUCUUAUUA